This 77-nucleotide transfer RNA is filed under the name Mariprofundales bacterium. RNAcentral describes it as "tRNA-Arg". It matches the Rfam family "tRNA". Rfam says of the family: Transfer RNA (tRNA) molecules are approximately 80 nucleotides in length. Their secondary structure includes four short double-helical elements and three loops (D, anti-codon, and T loops). Lineage: Bacteria; Pseudomonadati; Pseudomonadota; Candidatius Mariprofundia; Mariprofundales. The record is from RNAcentral.
GCGCCUGUAGCUCAAUCGGAUAGAGCAACGGACUUCUAAUCCGUAGGUUACAGGUUCGACUCCUGUCAGGCGCGCCA